RNAcentral lists this transfer RNA (67 nucleotides) under Ramisyllis kingghidorahi. RNAcentral describes it as "Ramisyllis sp. k GPS-2021 tRNA-Pro". The record is from RNAcentral. Lineage: Eukaryota; Metazoa; Annelida; Polychaeta; Phyllodocida; Syllidae.
ACAGGAAGUAGUUUAAAAAAACUUUUACUUUGGGAGUAAAUAUUCACAUUCAUCUUGUGCUACCUGA